Molecule: non-coding RNA, 906 nt
Organism: Aegilops tauschii subsp. strangulata
Lineage: Eukaryota; Viridiplantae; Streptophyta; Magnoliopsida; Poales; Poaceae
Source: RefSeq, a predicted model, not a curated record
CACAGCAAAUUUUCAGGGGCCUGCCGAUGGUUUGUUGAACAGCAAAUUUUUAGGAGUUCUGCCUGAUUUUCUUACCAUGGUUAAGAAAAUAACAUGCUGGCAAUGAUUUGUGAGUAAAGCAUGUUCCAAUUCCUCUUGGAUUGGCGUGUCGUUUUAGUAUUUUUAUAAACAUCAUUUAUCCAUAUCAAGUAUGCUUAAUCUUGGUAUAUUCCCAUUUUUUCAUUUUCACAAAUCACUCUUUCUAUAUCGUUCACAGGCUUCUGAAGAUGGUAGGAGAAUUGUUGACGAAGAACGAACUAAUGCACGCAUGGAGAUUGAAAAUGCUAGAGCUGCUGUACAAAGAGUUCAAAAAGUACUUCAAGAGAAAGAGAACAGUUCACAAAGAAUUGGAAAGCAGAAGAGGAAGAUCUAGAAAUUUGCAUACCUAGAGGAACUCGCCUUCUUGAUGCCCCUUGCUUACAGAAGGUCGACAUCGACUGAGUACGAGCGGCCGUAGGUCACAAGGGGGCGUGGAACUGCUGCAGCCCAUCUGUGACAGAGCAGACUCCUGCGAAUUUGCCCAGCUAGGUACAUCCUCUACAUGGUAGCAACUUGAAGAAAAUUCUUCCUUUUUGCUUCCAUGACCUGAUAUCCUCCUCGCUGAUGUAUCGAGGAGCCGUGACCCGGCCUCACAGGAAGGGCCAGGGCGAAGACGUAUCCCCGACGGCCAAGACAUGGCCACGGUGGUGAUUUUUGAUGGUGAGACAGAGCAGACUCGAGCGACUUUGCCCAGCCAGGAGCACAUAAAAGAUAAUCAGCGUUUAUUCGCUAGCUGGAAUUAAAGGCAACGGCGAGAGAGCAAGAUCAAGGACAACUUCAAAAUUUAAGAAUAUAUGCAAGGUACGUGCCGUAUGACCGUCAUAUGUU